GAUGAACGCUGGCGGCGUGCCUAAUACAUGCAAGUCGAGCGAACGGACGAGAAGCUUGCUUUUCUGAUGUUAGCGGCGGACGGGUGAGUAACACGUGGAUAACCUACCUAUAAGACUGGGAUAACUUCGGGAAACCGGAGCUAAUACCGGAUAAUAUUUUGAACCGCAUGGUUCAAUAGUGAAAGACGGUCUUGCUGUCACUUAUAGAUGGAUCCGCUCUGCAUUAGCUAGUUGGUAAGGUAAAUGCUUACCAAGGCAACGAGGCAUAUCCGACCUGAGAGGGUGAUCGGCCACAGUGGAACUGAGACACGGUCCAGACUCCUACGGGAGGCAGCAGUAGGGAAUCUUCCGCAAUGGGCGAAAGCAUGACGGAGCAACGCCGCGUGAGUGAUGAAGGUCUUCGGAUCGUAAAACUCUGUUAUUAGGGAAGAACAAAUGUGUAAGUAACUGUGCACAUCUUGACGGUACCUAAUCAGAAAGCCACGGCUAACUACGUG
Molecule: ribosomal RNA, 497 nt
Filed under: uncultured bacterium
Lineage: Bacteria
Description: partial 16S ribosomal RNA
Rfam family: Bacterial small subunit ribosomal RNA
Source: RNAcentral